This is a long non-coding RNA of Pipra filicauda (Wire-tailed manakin), 4833 nucleotides long. RefSeq lists it as uncharacterized. The record is from RefSeq and is a predicted model, not a curated record. The transcript has 3 exons. Lineage: Eukaryota; Metazoa; Chordata; Aves; Passeriformes; Pipridae.
UUCCCAGGUUUUGUAAUUACAGGUUAUUCAUUUGGUUUUCAUUCUUUCAGCAAGGUCUGAGAUGUCGGUGUCGUAUGUUUUCUGCCUGAUCUACACAGAUUACUUCCUCAUCUUCAUUUAUUCUUUUAAAGAUAUAUCACUUGAACUUCACCCUGUGACUUUCUUGCCUGAUAUCAAUCAGGAAAAUAUUUAAAAAUUAAAGAAUUAAGUAUUUUUCAAUAAUGGUAACUCUUUUGCAAGAGAUGAAAAGAUUUAAAACCCUGCAAACUUGUCACCAAAUGACAGAAACUCUGAAUUCUGAAAGUUGUACACACAUGCAGCCUGGCCUGCGUUCAAUGUCUUGACUGCCAUGAAACUAGAAAACUAGAAACAUUAAUUAACAGAAAAAAUUUGUAGUCUAGCUCUGAAAAAAAAAAAAAAAAAAGAUAAAUACUACACAGCUCUCAUUUAUGAGAGCAUUCUUAUUUUCCAGAAGACAUCAGUUUAAUUCUCCAGAUACUCAGUAUAGCCAGUAACUUUUGUUCUCCCCCCACAUAAUACUGCACAGGAGAGUGUCUCUUUAAAUUCAUUUAUAAAAUAAUUCAGGACUGUGGGUGUCUUUGAUCUGUUCCUCUCUGCUAAAGUACAGAGGAGAAGAACAUGUCGCUUAGCAACCCCGCUUAGCCAGCACUGGGGGAGACAGGAGGGAUGGAUGGUCCAGAGCCACAAAAGGGGAGGAUUAAGCCCUGUCAGGAAACUAAACUUCGGGCAAAACUAAAGCAAGCGAAUAAACAAACAUUUGCAGAAUUGGGUAAUCUCACUGUUUCCUUUUUUUUUUUUAUACCCCACUUCUGGUCUAUUAAUAGCAAUCUUCCUCCCAAAUGAGAAAAUCCGGCAUGGGAUGGACGACGCAGGCUUCAACAGCGUCAGGCUGGGUUUCAGCUGGAGGGAACCUGAAGUUUAAUUUUAAACCAGUUCAAGAGAUUUUAAAUAGAAUUAGUGUUGUCAAGACUAAUCGUAACUAAUUUCAUACUGCAGUUUUCCUCUUAACACUUCGAAUAAAUUUUGUGUGAGUCUCACCCUGUUGUUGGGCAGACCAAACGUCCCCAGCCUGGCUUAUCCAGGGUCACUUACUUUGUCAUAAAUAAACCCCAGAUUCUCUGAGCAGUUACCAGGCUGUGAUUUGCUGGUAACUAGGUAACAUCUUAGUGGCUGCAAAAAAAAUACCCGUUAGGAAAGUAACUUUGCACUGAAGGUGAGCCCUCAGCCAACCUCUGCCCUUCCUCAGCUGCAGGACAGCGACGUCCUGCAGAGCUGUGACAGGAAGGGGCACCAGCUCAAACCCUCCUCCUCUUGCCCUUGCUGACCAGUGUCAGCCUAGAGCAGCCCUGAUUUAUUUUUUUCUCGAACAUCAAACCCCAGAGCUCUGCAUGAAUCAGUUAUGGAAGAGAAAACGGUGCAAAAAACCUGUGUCAGAGAAAGAAUGGCAGAACUAGCCCACUUCAACAUCUCACACAGAUGAAAAAUAGCUCAGAAUUAAAUACAGGUAAAUUGUUAUACCUCGUCUUCUAUCAUAAAGAUUGCUUAAAAUCUUAAUUUUCAUCCCAUUGUCAUGUUCUAUUCACCUAUAAUUUAUUACUGAACAGUUAAGCCCUAAUGGUUUACGUCUCUCCUAGAGCCCAGUGCAGGCAAUCCUGUGCUCAAACUCUAGUAAAACUGCAGAUUGUUAAACUGAGUGCCUCGCUCCAUCCACAGGUUGGAAGCUUGUCUAAACUGGCCUCUGCUGCAUAUUCCAACAAUUACAAACAUACCUGAAACCAGACAUGGUUUGACUCUGGAGUAACCUUGUUUUCAUCUGGUAAGGGAAGUGGUAAGUGCUAGCAUGGAGCUCACUCAGAGCUAAGCUCUUAGAACAGUGUACUGAAGAACUUAGAGCAUAAGUGACAAGAUAAUUUUUUAUUUCCCAUAUGUAGCAAAGAUCUGUAGGGCAGAACUCAGUCUUCAAUGAGAAUUUUACUGGUUACUGCAGGAGAGCCUGGAUUUUACCCAGGAUUUCUGAGUGUGCUUUUUGUACUGGCAAAUGCUCAUGUAAUGUGAUUCUUUGGAGAAAUUUAAUUGAAGAGAAAUGUGUAAGGCACUUGGCAUUAAGUGGUCUAAGUUUGUUAACGUAGAGUAUGGAGAAUGAAGCCCAAAUUAGAAGCAAAUAACACUAACUAACUGUGAGCAUUUCCAUAAAAAUUACUUUAGGGUGAAGCUUGGAUUCUUGUAACACAUGUUUUCUCUAUGCUUUCACUUUAAUGAUCCAAACAAAUUUAGAAGCUUUAUUUGAAAUGUCACAAGCUGAAGCAAACCCCAUUGACUUGACUUUGUCUUUUCUCUCAAUUACACCAGGGUCAACAACUCUUUACUGUAACUCAAUACUGAAAAAGUAUUUUUGCUGACUGCCCAAAUCGAGGGGGAGGAGGAGUCCAGAAACAGAAGAAUUCUUUUACUUGUGCUUGUGUUCACAGUACCAGUUCAUACACCUGGUGGUUUUUAUUUUUAGGAAACAGAAAUACGUAAUACCCGUAAGGCCAAGAUGAUCUUUGUUGGAGGUUCUUAUUACAAACACUUUAUGUGAUUCCUCCAACAGAUACAGAACAUCUCCAGCUUCUUGAGCAGACUUCGUCAGGCUCAUAGUCUUGAGGAACAUGUUUUGGACUACACUGAUUUAAAAACCUGUUCAAUUAACAUAGCUUUCUGGUUAUGGCAUCCAGGUUCCCAGAUCAGGAUGAUACAUGAAAAAAAGCAUGCAGAUAAGGCAUCGUUUGCCCCAACAUGUCAUCAGAAACUGACUUCCUAAAGAUUUCCUAAUUGUGCCAUGUUACUUUGUAUGGUAGCUGCCUCUGCUGUACCAGGACAAAAUAUACACUUAGGCCUUUGGGCAUGAGAGGUGAGUCGUUUCCAUUCCCCAUCCCACUAGAAAAUCAACAAAAGCAAGCCUUUAAUAGUAUGAAUUCCAUUAUGGCCCAGCUUGGCAAGCACCUAAAUCCUGCAAGUGCUAUGAUUUAUCUUUGAACUCGUUAGUAGCACAGCAUAAUUAACAAGUAAGCUGUAGGAACAUGCCGUCGCUCUGUAUUUACACGGCAUUUGCUGUGCAGUUGUGGUAUAAUUACAGAGAUUAUACCUGCUCUCUAGAAUAAGAGUACAUGUUGUACCUCAUUUUGUGCCAUUUCACACCAGUGGAGCAGAGCACAGCGUGGUGGAGUUGAACAAGUAUUUCAUUCUGCUGUAGGUAGACGGGUGUGGAUCUGCACAGAGUGCUGCUAUUCAAACCUGCACUGUGGUUUCAGGCAGCUUGGGGUGGCAACCUGGCUUCUGGAGCUCAAGUGAUUUAUAUUUUGGACUGCUGCCCUUUCAGUGAUGUCAGUGCACUUGAAUAUGCAGAUUUAAAAACAGGCAGGCUAGCAUUUGGGUUUUUUCAGUAUAGCAACCUUCCUCUCUCAUCCAUAGUAUUGUAGGUUUCUAUAGUAAUUACAGGAAAUGCAUGGCAAGAAUGUAUCUUCUUACAAAGAUUUCAGUUUUUAGAUUUGUUUUAUGCCAGCACAUCCCCAUUUCUCUGCCCUAAAACCCCAUUGGUAUCACCGUACCAAAUGUGAAGUCACAUCACGUAGGCACUGGGAAAAAAAUACAAGCAAAUGAUGAAAAGUGCAAAGAAACAUGCUGUGCCUCUGAGUUGGUCACAUUUUAUGUGAUUCAGCGUAAACUGUUUUCCUGUUUUCAUAGUGGACAGCAAGAGACAAUGGAAGAGAUGCCCAUCCGUGUCCCAGUUACGGUCACAAGCAUCAUAAUCCAUGAUUUUCAUGACUUUUCCAUUUCCAUUUUCCUACAACCAUCACAGAGUUCUGGGCUGGCAGCUGCAGCAGCCAUUUACAGUAGCUGAAAUACCAGCAGAGCGUUUCCCCUGCACACCACCCAGAGGCAAGGCCUGUAUUUUACAAAUGCCUUCAAAGCAAACAUUUCAGGCCAACUGUGAGACUUGGGAUUGAAAUUCAGACUCUGGAGUACGACGGCACUUUGUGCCUGAGUUGACUUUUACCUCCUUUUCCAUGUUGUCAGAGUCACUCCAAUGCUUUUCUUUGUGAGAGGGCACACGGUAACAACCCCUGAAUCCUCCUGAACAGUGCAAUCAUUCUUUUAAACUUUUAUCUUAAAAGACAGUCUUUUACAGUCUGAGAAGGGCAGUUUCCCCCAUCUAAAAAAAUGGAGAAAUGGGAGCUUUGCACUGACUCCAGCACGGUCCAGGUCGGACUCUUCAGCUUGGGUUUAGAUACACCCUUGUUUUUCAUUCAAGUGUAACAAUAACCAAGAGAAUCCUGCCAGUAUUUCUGGGAAUGAGGUAAUUUUUAAAUGGUGAAAUUGUGCAUCAUUUCAGUCAUAAUUUGGAACCCAACCACUUCAUCUGCCAUUGAAAGCCUCAUCUCUCACAAGGGAUGUUUUAUGAGACAGAAAUUGUAAUGACGGGAUGAGACAAAAGCUCUGGCGAGGAGCAGACUUGAGUCACAAAGUGGUAAAAUCUGUAGGGUUGGAAAGCUGAUCCUCUAGUUAGAAUGGAAAUUUACAGCUGCACGUGAACUGCAGGCAUCUCUGUGAGUGUGUGUCCCCAGGUCUUAAAUAAUGUUCAGUGAAAUGUGAUUUCUGCAUGAAUUUUCUGUGUUCAGAAGCAGGAUUGUUCUCGGGGAGAAUACUCAAAACCGGCUCUUUUGAUGUUUUGUUCACAGAAACAGACACAUCGUGCAAGUUCACAUAUACAGGGAAUGGAAUUGGGACUGAUGUUUGAAGACUUCUCCCAACAAAGCCCUCCCAAAUGAUUUA